This 103-nucleotide microRNA precursor is filed under the name Marmota monax (woodchuck). The record is from RNAcentral. Lineage: Eukaryota; Metazoa; Chordata; Mammalia; Rodentia; Sciuridae.
AGUGGGAUUUCUGGGUCAAAUGGUGGUUCCAUUCCAAGUUUUCUGAGGAAUCUCCAUACUACUUUCUAGAGUGUUUUCACCAAUUUCCAGUCCCACCAGCAAU